UACGGAGGGGGCUAGCGUUGUUCGGAAUUACUGGGCGUAAAGCGCACGUAGGCGGCUUUGCAAGUUAGAGGUGAAAGCCCGGGGCUCAACUCCGGAAUUGCCUUUAAAACUGCAUCGCUAGAAUUGUGGAGAGGUAAGUGGAAUUCCGAGUGUAGAGGUGAAAUUCGUAGAUAUUCGGAAGAACACCGGUGGCGAAGGCGGCCUGCUGGGACAUGGCUGGACGCUGAGCGCGACAGCGUGGGGGAGCAAACAGG
Molecule: ribosomal RNA, 254 nt
Filed under: uncultured bacterium
Lineage: Bacteria
Description: partial 16S ribosomal RNA
Rfam family: Bacterial small subunit ribosomal RNA
Source: RNAcentral